AUGUGCGACCGAAAGGCCGUGAUCAAAAAUGCGGACAUGUCGGAGGAGAUGCAACAGAACUCAGUGGAGUGCGCUCCUCAGGCGCUGGAGAAAUACAACAUAGAGAAGAACACUGCGGCUCAUAUCAAGAAGGAAUGUGACAAGAAGUACAAUGCCACCUGGCACUGCAUCCUGGGGAGGAACUUCAGUAGUUACGUGACACAUGAAACCAAACACUUCAUCUACUUCUACCUGGGCCAAGUGGCCAUUCUUCUGUUCAAAUCUGGUUA
Molecule: long non-coding RNA, 269 nt
Filed under: Homo sapiens (human)
Lineage: Eukaryota; Metazoa; Chordata; Mammalia; Primates; Hominidae
Description: non-protein coding lnc-STON2-3:1
Source: RNAcentral